UACGUAGGUGGCUAGCGUUGUCCGGAUUUAUUGGGCGUAAAGAGCGCGCAGGCGGUCGUUCAAGUCGAGUGUGAAAGCCCCCGGCUCAACUGGGGAGGGUCACUCGAUACUGAUCGACUCGAAGGCAGGAGAGGGAAGCGGAAUUCCCGGUGUAGUGGUGAAAUGCGUAGAUAUCGGGAGGAACACCAGUGGCGGAGGCGGCUUUCUGGCCUGCUCUUGACGCUGAGGCGCGAAAGCUAGGGUAG
RNAcentral lists this ribosomal RNA (245 nucleotides) under uncultured bacterium. RNAcentral describes it as "partial 16S ribosomal RNA". It matches the Rfam family "Bacterial small subunit ribosomal RNA", at positions 524 to 768 of the family's 1533-position model. The record is from RNAcentral.